CCUACGGGAGGCUGCAGUGGGGAAUUUUCCGCAAUGGGCGAAAGCCUGACGGAGCAACGCCGCGUGAUCGAAUGAAGGCCUUCGGGUUGUAAAGAUCUGUUGACAGGGACGAAUAAGCCAUGCGAAUAGUUUGGUGUAUGACGGUACCUGUUUAGAAAGCUCCGGCUAACUACGUGCCAGCAGCCGCGGUAAUACGUAGGGAGCAAGCGUUGUCCGGAAUUACUGGGCGUAAAGGGCGCGUAGACGGUGCAGCAAGUCUGAUGUGAAAGGUCGGGGCCCAACCCCGGGACUGCAUUGGAAACUGUUGAACUGGAGUACAGGAGAGGUAAGCGGAAUUCCUAGUGUAGCGGUGAAAUGCGUAGAUAUUAGGAGGAACACUCGUGGGGAAGGCGGGUUCCUGGACAUUAACUGACGCUGAGGCACGAAGGCCAGGGGAGCGAAAGGGAUUAGAUACCCGUGUAGUC
Molecule: ribosomal RNA, 464 nt
Filed under: uncultured bacterium
Lineage: Bacteria
Description: partial 16S ribosomal RNA
Rfam family: Bacterial small subunit ribosomal RNA
Source: RNAcentral